CUAUCUAUUUCAUGUUCAGAGUAUUUAUUUCUGUCAUUCCACAGACUGGCUUGAACUGGCUAGCUGGUAUAUUAAAAACUGUCUACGUUAUUUUUUAUGGAGAUAUAUCCAUUAUUCAAGCUAUGUUGGUCAAAUUUUGUAUUUUCAUUUGAAUUAUUCGUGCAUAUAUAUUCUGAUUAUGCCCAUGUUUUUUUUUUCAGAUUUAAUCAUAUGAAUAAAUAAUUUCUCCGAAGAAAGUAGACAGUAGUUAAAGACUCGAAGAAAAGUUCAGCACCUGGAAUAUUGUAUAGAUGAGUUACAGUUUAAAUUUGACUCCUCAGCGUCUCUUCAAGGAAGCAUGUGCGAUAGCCUGGACACACCAUCAAUAUUUCUUAUCCUUGGUUAUGGUGACCUGGUGCUUGUCACAUUGAUGGCUUCAUGGUUCAAAUGCAUCUGAACAAUGAUGAAGAAACUCUUGCCAUUGAGUAAGUCUCAAUGGCAAAAUCUGGUGGAGAUGGAGCUCAAACUUAUUCAGAAGUUGAUAUGUUUGAUCCUUUUCUUGGGAAGUCUGAUCGCUCUGACAGCAAACUAGAUGCAAGUGGCAACCCAUGAUUUGCUUUACGCAUUUAGGAUUUCAUCGACAACAAACUAGAUUCUCCUCACCAAGCUGCUGCUGGUGGGGCCAGAGGCCAGCAAGGUGUAUUGCUGGGGCGGCAGGGAGAAGGAAGCUGGCCGGUGAGGUGCUGGGUGGAGGAGAUCCUGGCGACAAGGUUAUGGGCGAGGAAUCCUGGCAGGGCGAGGAGAUACUGGCCGGCAAGGUUGUAGCAAUUGUUAUGCAGACUAGCCCGGAGUCUGGUUUUUGUACAGGUAGUGUCCAUCCUGGUUCUGGUGAUUUGAUUUGGGCAACUCUUCAAGUUUGGUUCUCAUAUAUUGGUCCUGAGACCUGACAUUGGGAUGUGCCAUAUCUCAUCCCUUCCUUCUUUAAUUUUCCUGUGUUUAGACUGAUUGACUGUGUAUACUAUGUAUGUUAGUUCCUUUAUAAUUCAUGCCGUGAUAUUUUUUGUUGUUGUGACAGGUUACUUAUAACAAUAGUCUAAUGUGGAAAAAAGCAUAAUCGGGGUUGGGCGGCAAAGCCUUGAUAUCUGCUGGUUUAUCCAUAGGGGUGCACAGACAAAUAAAUGUCCGUACAAUUUAUUUUUCUACUAUGUUACCUAUAGGGUAAGCCCGAUAAUUUUUUUGCAGUACUGUGUUUAACUUCUGGAGAAUUAUAUCUGAAGCAAAUCAUUUUAACGAAAUUAUUUUAAGACCAUAACCUCCCAAUUUUCAGUACUAUUUUUUUGUCAGUAUCUCGCUACGUGGAUCCAUCAGACCAUUUAAAACAUGUUACCGUUAGUGUCCAGUAUAUAGAACUCCCUCCACCCAUAGGAAAGGCUUGCUAUCAAAUUUGCCCACCUAGAUUCAGUAAAGAUGGGCAUAGGUGUGUUCGUACUUGAUACGUUUAGAUGAGUGGGUACUGAAAAUAUGGAAUGACAUUCAUCAGCUGUUAUAAUUAGAAGGAUAUACACUUCAGGCCCAACAUUAAAGCAGCUUC
This is a long non-coding RNA of Lolium rigidum, 1570 nucleotides long. RefSeq lists it as uncharacterized. The record is from RefSeq and is a predicted model, not a curated record. Lineage: Eukaryota; Viridiplantae; Streptophyta; Magnoliopsida; Poales; Poaceae. The transcript has 3 exons.